Small nucleolar RNA from Grammomys surdaster, 132 nucleotides. RefSeq annotates it as small nucleolar RNA SNORA17. The transcript has a single exon. The record is from RefSeq and is a predicted model, not a curated record. Lineage: Eukaryota; Metazoa; Chordata; Mammalia; Rodentia; Muridae.
ACUGCCCCUAGAGGCUUUGCCCUUGUGGCUACUGUAUCACAAGUAUAUCAGGAAGUGGCAGAGAGGAGAGAGACCAUGUCUAUACUCAGUGUUCUGACCUGUAAAUAUCUGAAUGAAUAGUAGCCUAAGACU